Chlorocebus sabaeus (green monkey) is the source of this 1345-nucleotide long non-coding RNA. RefSeq lists it as uncharacterized. NCBI's taxonomy places the organism in Eukaryota, Metazoa, Chordata, Mammalia, Primates, Cercopithecidae. The record is from RefSeq and is a predicted model, not a curated record.
CUCUCUUUUUUUUAAAUCUACUGAGAUUUGACUCACAUACCAUAACGUUCACUGUUUUCAAGUGUACAAGUCAGUCGAUUUGGGUAUAUAUACAGGGUUGUGCAACCACCACCACAAUCUAAUUUCCUAAACAUUCUCCCCUAAACAAAACACUCAACCCAUUAGCAGCCAUUCUCCUCACGCUCCCUACCCGGGGCGGCCGCCAGUCCACUUUCUGCCAGAUUCACAUAUGGAUUUGCCUAUUUUGCACAUUUCAUAGGAAUGGGAUCCUACAAUAUGUGGUCCUUGGUGACUGCCUUUUUUCAGAGUAUCAUGUCUUCAGGGUUCAUCCACGUUGUAGCCUGGGUCAGUGUUUCACCCCUUUGUACAGCUGAAUAGUACUCUGUUUCACCGGAUAGACCACGUUGGAUGCGUCCAUUCAGCAUAUGACAGAUGGGCACAGCACUUUGAGGAACCAGCUCCCAGUCUGCCUGUUGGGGGUGGGUGUGGGUGCCCGGACCUCCCACGCUGACCUUGACCUGAGAUAUAACCCAAUGGCUGUCUCCUUUCCCCUCUGGAAAAUUCCCACUCAGCCUUCAAGGUCCACUCGGAGGUCACUUGCAUCCCCGCAUUACCCCAUAUAGACUGAUAAUCCCUUCCUCCGCUGUGCUCCCAGUGAGGUUUCUUCCUUGUUUAAGACCCACCCGUCUCUUCCCCCUCGCCGCUCCAGGCUGAAACUGCGGUUGUCCUGUUUCUGGGGUCCUGGGUGUCUCCAAACCCUCAAAACGUUUGUGCACUGGAAAAAUGGGGAAUUGGCUGCACGAUAAUUGGCUGCCGGAGAAGCUAAUUGUUUCCUUGAAGUCACAGAUUUCGGACGGAGGAAAGAAGAACUGGGUUUGUUUCCAGCUUUUCUCCAUCCAACCCUUCAGCCCCUGUGUGCACCUGCUUAACUCAGGCCUCUUCUAGGUGUGGGGAGCGCGUGCAGAGAGGAACAAGCAGACACAUUCCACCAUCACGGGCUUGGGCCUGCAAGGGCAAUGAACCGGGACACUGGAGGUGUUCUGUCUUGGAUCCACCACAGUCAGCUAACACUGGCCGCUCAGAACAAGCGAACCAGUCAGCAGGACCCAGAUCAUCCAAACUGGCUGAUCCUGAGACGAGACUGAACUGCUACUAAGGACAACAGCCCUGCUCUGGUCACUCUGGAGGCUGACCAGUCUAUGCACGGCUGAAGUUUGAGGACUUGUCAAGCAAGUAAUGUAGCUAAAAAUCUUAAGACUUAGUGGUUUUCCUGUGUGCUGUUUUCCUGUUGUUCUGUCACUGUAUUCAAUCUUUUUCCCAGGUAAGGACCUCUUUUGUCCUUGCU